UACGUAGGGGGCAAGCGUUGUCCGGAUUUAUUGGGCGUAAAGAGCGUGUAGGCGGCCAGGUAGGUCCGCUGUGAAAACUCGAGGCUCAACCUCGAGAUGUCGGCGGAAACCAUCUGGCUAGAGUCCGGAAGAGGAGAGUGGAAUUCCUGGUGUAGCGGUGAAAUGCGCAGAUAUCGGGAAGAACACCCGUGGCGAAGGCGGCUCUCUGGGACGGUACUGACGCUGAGACGCGAAAGCGUGGGGAGCGAACAGG
This 253-nucleotide ribosomal RNA is filed under the name uncultured bacterium. RNAcentral's name for it is "partial 16S ribosomal RNA". It matches the Rfam family "Bacterial small subunit ribosomal RNA", at positions 524 to 776 of the family's 1533-position model. The record is from RNAcentral.